GAGGAAGGUGGGGAUGACGUCAAGUCCUCAUGGCCUUUAUGUCCAGGGCUACACACGUGCUACAAUGGCCGGUACAAACCGCUGCAAACCCGCGAGGGUGAGCCAAUCGGAGAAAGCCGGCCUCAGUUCGGAUUGCAGUCUGCAACUCGACUGCAUGAAGCUGGAAUCACUAGUAAUCGCGGAUCAGCAUGCCGCAGUGAAUACGUUCCCGGGCCUUGUACACACCGCCCGUCACAUCACGAAAGUGGGUUGUACUAGAAGCAGGUGAGCUAACCGCAAGGAAGCAGCCUUCCAAGGUGUGAUUCAUGAUUGGGGUGAAGUCGUAACAAGGUAGCCGUAA
This 340-nucleotide ribosomal RNA is filed under the name uncultured bacterium. RNAcentral describes it as "bacterial SSU rRNA". It matches the Rfam family "Bacterial small subunit ribosomal RNA", at positions 1166 to 1505 of the family's 1533-position model. The record is from RNAcentral.